Molecule: ribosomal RNA, 816 nt
Filed under: Salmonella enterica subsp. enterica serovar Agama
Lineage: Bacteria; Pseudomonadati; Pseudomonadota; Gammaproteobacteria; Enterobacterales; Enterobacteriaceae
Description: partial 23S ribosomal RNA
Rfam family: Bacterial large subunit ribosomal RNA
Source: RNAcentral
AUACUCCUGACUGACCGAUAGUGAACCAGUACCGUGAGGGAAAGGCGAAAAGAACCCCGGCGAGGGGAGUGAAAAAGAACCUGAAACCGUGUACGUACAAGCAGUGGGAGCACAGGUUUACCUGUGUGACUGCGUACCUUUUGUAUAAUGGGUCAGCGACUUAUAUUCUGUAGCAAGGUUAACCGAAUAGGGGAGCCGCAGGGAAACCGAGUCUUAAUUGGGCGUUAAGUUGCAGGGUAUAGACCCGAAACCCGGUGAUCUAGCCAUGGGCAGGUUGAAGGUUGGGUAACACUAACUGGAGGACCGAACCGACUAAUGUUGAAAAAUUAGCGGAUGACCUGUGGCUGGGGGUGAAAGGCCAAUCAAACCGGGAGAUAGCUGGUUCUCCCCGAAAGCUAUUUAGGUAGCGCCUCGUGAAUUCAUCUCCGGGGGUAGAGCACUGUUUCGGCUAGGGGGCCAUCCCGGCUUACCAACCCGAUGCAAACUGCGAAUACCGGAGAAUGUUAUCACGGGAGACACACGGCGGGUGCUAACGUCCGUCGUGAAGAGGGAAACAACCCAGACCGCCAGCUAAGGUCCCAAAGUCAUGGUUAAGUGGGAAACGAUGUGGGAAGGCCCAGACAGCCAGGAUGUUGGCUUAGAAGCAGCCAUCAUUUAAAGAAAGCGUAAUAGCUCACUGGUCGAGUCGGCCUGCGCGGAAGAUGUAACGGGGCUAAACCAUGCACCGAAGCUGCGGCAGCGACGCUGAUGCGUUGUUGGGUAGGGGAGCGUUCUGUAAGCCUGUGAAGGUGGCCUGUGAGGGUUGCUGGAGGUAUC